Molecule: small nucleolar RNA, 104 nt
Organism: Arachis duranensis
Lineage: Eukaryota; Viridiplantae; Streptophyta; Magnoliopsida; Fabales; Fabaceae
Source: RefSeq, a predicted model, not a curated record
AUGUCAUGGGGGCAUUUUCUUGUCAACUCCUUGUAUCUCUCCCAUGAUUCAUAGAGAGUCUUCCCAUCUUGUUGUCUAAAGGUUUGCACCUCAACUCUCAAUCU